UCACCUAUGAUGAAAUGGUAUCAUGAUUGACUGUUAAUCAAUUCUUGCAGGUUCGAAUCCUGCUGGGUGAG
RNAcentral lists this transfer RNA (71 nucleotides) under Enterococcus faecium. RNAcentral's name for it is "tRNA-Asn". It matches the Rfam family "tRNA". Rfam says of the family: Transfer RNA (tRNA) molecules are approximately 80 nucleotides in length. Their secondary structure includes four short double-helical elements and three loops (D, anti-codon, and T loops). The record is from RNAcentral. RNAcentral also lists the same sequence under 3 other names. Lineage: Bacteria; Bacillati; Bacillota; Bacilli; Lactobacillales; Enterococcaceae.